UUACUCCUACGGGAGGUAGCAGUGAGGAAUAUUGGUCAAUGGCCGAGAGGCUGAACCAGCCAAGUCGCGUGAGGGAAGACGGCCCUACGGGUUGUAAACCUCUUUUGUCGGGGAGCAAAGCGAACCACGUGUGGUUCAUUGAGAGUACCCGAAGAAAAAGCAUCGGCUAACUCCGUGCCAGCAGCCGUGGUAAUACGGAGGAUGCGAGCGUUAUCCGGAUUUAUUGGGUUUAAAGGGUGCGUAGGCGGAUUGAUAAGUUAGAGGUGAAAUGUCCGAGCUCAACUCGGGAACUGCCUCUAAUACUG
Molecule: ribosomal RNA, 305 nt
Filed under: uncultured bacterium
Lineage: Bacteria
Description: bacterial SSU rRNA
Rfam family: Bacterial small subunit ribosomal RNA
Source: RNAcentral